Alligator sinensis (Chinese alligator) is the source of this 2315-nucleotide long non-coding RNA. RefSeq lists it as uncharacterized. The record is from RefSeq and is a predicted model, not a curated record. The transcript has 3 exons. NCBI's taxonomy places the organism in Eukaryota, Metazoa, Chordata, Crocodylia, Alligatoridae.
GAAGGUGCAUGGCCCAGCCUCAGAGGCACAGCCUAGCUCUGACUGGCUGCUUGGGGUUUGGGAAUUAGGCAGGGAAGAGGGUGGUCACCUCAAUUGCCACUGCUUCCCUGUCACCAAAUGUCUUCAUCUGUGGGGAACCCUGUGGGUGAGAUGUCAUAGCUCCAUGGGCUGCAUUUGGCCCACGGGCUGGAGGUUGAGUGCUCCUGGUAUACUGCCUACCAAAAUGGGAUCCUGGUCUUCUAGGUACUAUGGUUUUAUUAUGAUUUAUCUCUUUGUAUCAUAACAGUUCAGUCAAAAGCGUCAAGCAACUGUAUGGAAAUGAGAAUUGAAAACCAACUAUUAAAAUUCUGCCGAGUGUUCUCAUUUUCACAAGCCAAUGCUGUAUCAACAAAAAUCAAGUGAGGCAGAAGUCUAGGAAAGGUGAUGUGCUUUGUUGUGCUCUGAAGGUUAUGCUAAUGAAUCAUGGAGAAAGUAUGACUAAGAGCUGAGGGACUUCCCUGAGCAUCAUGUCUUGAGCCCCUUACUGGCUUUUCAUGUUCAACUUCUGGAGAGAAUUAAGUGGUCAGCCUAGAGCAGUCUGUGUACAAAAAUGGUUGUCUGGAUGGACUUACUCAGCCUUUGUCAUACAGCUGUGCAAGAGACGGGAUUGUAUGUAACCUGGGACUCUCAUUCACUGAACUGUGCAUCAGAGCAUUGAGAUCUGCACUUCCAUUCUUAAAUUUAAGAUUAUCUUAAUGUGCCCUGCUUUAGGAACAUCCAAAGCACCUUCUGAGCAGAGUAAAGUAGCUGUGGCAGAGUGCCACACUAACAUGACUAUGCUGUUUCCAGUAACUAAGCUAGCUCAUUUUAGAACUAGCAUUAUACAGUGUAGAUUGGUGUUUCUCAAACUGGCUGCCAUGAGAUCCUUUCUAAAGGUGUUGUCUGCUGCCUAGUGGAACUGCCCCAUCUCACCUCUGUUUCUGGGAGAUGCUGUGUGGGGCUAGGCUGGGAAGUGGCUGUGGCAGAAGGGGGCGCCCCACUGCAGCCCAGCCUGAUGGGAGGGGCUACCGCUAAAGUCCCGGCUGGUAAUGAAGAUAGGAUUCAGGAAGUUCCAUUCCCCUCCCCCCCGCACUUCCCAGUGUUGAGGGGCAUCUCCUGGACUUUACACGGAAAGGCAAAGACAGAGGGGCUUGCCUUUUUUGUGUGGGGAAAAGGAGGAGCUCCCUCUACCUGCAUCUGCAGAGAAUGCUGCUAAACUCAGAGAAGUGAGAGAGGGGAGCCUUGAGUGUAAAAAAGUUGAGAACUCCUGGUGCAGAUUCUAUAUCCAGGCCUUUUGAUAGUGCCGUGUGCUACUAUUCAUGAAACUUAUAAAGCAGUUUUGAGGUCUCCUGUUCUCUAUACCCCACCUGAACUUGAGCAUGUUGUAGAGCAGGGGUGAGCAAUUAUUUUGGACAGAGGGCCUCUUACUGAGUUUCAGCAAGCCAUCGAGGGCCGCAUGACAGGCAGCCCAGGGCAGAUUAAUAUUAAUUUUCUAAAUUUUUUAGGGGCCCCGUGGGCCAGAUAGAAUAGUCUGGUGGGCUGCAUCCAGCCCCCGGUCCGCAUUUGCCCACCCCUGUUGUAGAGUAUAUGAUUCCUUCAGUUUCAAGGAGCAUUGGAAAGAUUUUUGGCAUUUCUUUCUUGAAAGCUCAGUAUAUAAGGUCAUAAAGGGAAAUUUUCCUUGUUAGUUAUAUUGGAGAAAGGGUGCAGUGGGGUGCUGAAUGCAGAUGUCAAUGAAAGGUGAUAAACAUCUCUGUACAGUAUUCAGCUGUCUAGACUUGUUACUUCCUAUAUGGAAGAUUUUUGUAGUGUACAGUAUACUCUUACCGAAAAAGUAAUUAUUGUCCACUUAAAACUUGUAGUAUUUUUUUUUUGCCUACUUGUUUUUAACCCAAUUUAAAAGUUAAGUAACCUAGUUCUGGAAGCUUGUGUGUAUGUUUAGGCUUGUGUUUGUUUGUUUUUGGGUUUUAUGAUUUACUUAUUUAUUUUAAACCAAGCUCACUUACAGGCUUAGAAAGUGUAUCAAAUGUAUCAAAAUGUACCUCUUUUUUGCUGCUGUGAAUUAUCAUAGCUUGACUGCUUAAUGUCGCAUGUGGAGAGAGUAUGGUAUAUUAGUAGGUGCACUUAUCUGUAUUGCUGAAUAAUUCUUAGUCUUUUGUACCUUGCCUGCUCAGUAUAUUACCAUGUGGUUUUAACGGAGUAGUUUUUAAUUUUUUGACCUCAGGAGGAAAAUUCUUCCUCCUUAUGGAGUAAUUUGUAAUAUUAAUCUUGAAUACGUUUGCUUCUAAAUAAAGUGUGUA